UGGCGGCGAGUGGCGAACGGGUGAGUAAUACAUCGGAACAUGUCCAGUAGUGGGGGAUAGCCCGGCGAAAGCCGGAUUAAUACCGCAUACGAUCUUUGGAUGAAAGCGGGGGAUCGCAAGACCUCGCGCUAUUGGGGUGGCCGAUGGCGGAUUAGCUAGUUGGUGGGGUAAAGGCUCACCAAGGCGACGAUCCGUAGCUGGUCUGAGAGGACGACCAGCCACACUGGGACUGAGACACGGCCCAGACUCCUACGGGAGGCAGCAGUGGGGAAUUUUGGACAAUGGGCGAAAGCCUGAUCCAGCAAUGCCGCGUGUGUGAAGAAGGCCUUCGGGUUGUAAAGCACUUUUGUCCGGAAAGAAAUCCUGGUGGCUAAUAUCCGCCGGGGAUGACGGUACCGGAAGAAUAAGCACCGGCUAACUACGUGCCAGCAGCCGCGGUAAUACGUAGGGUGCGAGCGUUAAUCGGAAUUACUGGGCGUAAAGCGU
RNAcentral lists this ribosomal RNA (486 nucleotides) under Paraburkholderia sp. RNAcentral describes it as "bacterial SSU rRNA". It matches the Rfam family "Bacterial small subunit ribosomal RNA", at positions 86 to 568 of the family's 1533-position model. The record is from RNAcentral. Lineage: Bacteria; Pseudomonadati; Pseudomonadota; Betaproteobacteria; Burkholderiales; Burkholderiaceae.